RNAcentral lists this ribosomal RNA (400 nucleotides) under Buchnera aphidicola (Sitobion avenae). Its description in RNAcentral is "bacterial SSU rRNA". It matches the Rfam family "Bacterial small subunit ribosomal RNA", at positions 975 to 1375 of the family's 1533-position model. The record is from RNAcentral. Lineage: Bacteria; Pseudomonadati; Pseudomonadota; Gammaproteobacteria; Enterobacterales; Erwiniaceae.
CUGGUCUUGACAUCCACAGAAUUUUUUAGAAAUAAAAAAGUGCCUUCGGGAACUGUGAGACAGGUGCUGCAUGGCUGUCGUCAGCUCGUGUUGUGAAAUGUUGGGUUAAGUCCCGCAACGAGCGCAACCCUUAUCCCCUGUUGCCAGCGGUUCGGCCGGGAACUCAGAGGAGACUGCCGGUGAUAAACCGGAGGAAGGUGGGGACGACGUCAAGUCAUCAUGGCCCUUACGACCAGGGCUACACACGUGCUGCAAUGGUUUAUACAAAGAGAAGCAAAUCUGUAAAGACAAGCAAACCUCAUAAAGUAAAUCGUAGUCCGGACUGGAGUCUGCAACUCGACUCCACGAAGUCGGAAUCGCUAGUAAUCGUGGAUCAGAAUGCCACGGUGAAUACGUUCCC